UUUGGAAAAUAAAAAGGAACUUUAUUUUUCUACCCCGAACCUCGUCUCUAGAAUUCUUUUAAAAUUCUACAAACAAAUUGGGGGCUCGUGUCCGGGAUUCAAUCUCUUGCUGGGCUCUAGGGGGGUCUCCCUUGGGUGCACCCCUCUCCGAAUUUGAGAGGAGGGGGAACUACCUAGAGAACUGCGGAGCUCUUGGAAGCCCGUAAAAAUUGUGCGAUAGACGAGUAGUAGGGGGAGUUGAAUAAAGGGAAAGAGGUUGAAUAAAGAGGAAAAGACGGCUUGGAGAUCGACCGGGAAACAUCUGUGCACAGAACCCUGAAAAAGCGGGCUAUUUAAUACAGACUCCUCCAUUGAGCUUCAAAGUACAUUCCAUUGAAGUGGGAGACCAGGUGUGGAUAAAGACUUGGAAGGACGAUUCCCUAAAGCCAAAGUGGGAUGGACCAUUCCUGGUGUUGCUGACCACAGACACUGCCAUCCGGACGAAAGAAAAAGGCUGGACCCGUUACACCAGAGCGAAGAGAGCCAACUUGGAGGAGUCGGAAACAUGGAAAGCCUUUCAAAAAGAACCAUUGAAACUGGUGUUUAAAAAAAAAAAAAAAAAAAAAAACAGUGACUUAUAUCCUUUUGAAUAUAACCCUAGUGGCGGUUGGGGGAGAAUUAUGGAUUGAACCGCCUAGAAUCUUUGAACCUGAUGGAACUUGGACACAAAUUUGGUGUUAUAAUGACAAGGAGAGUGAGUGUUUUCCCAUGAAUUGGAUCUUUGAACCCAAAAUUUGGUGGUAUGAAUCUAAGUUACAACCAAACUGGCAACAAGUAGGUCAGGAGGAAAGUUGGAUAGUGGUAACACAAAAGAGAGGGGGUAAGUGUCAAACCACUCUAUAUUUGCAAAUAAACCGAGAGACUGUAGGAAGAUAUACUUGUACAAUGUGGGAGGAGAAAGACUAUUUAAACACAAGCUCUUUAGUGGUCUCCCCAAGUUCUUUCGAAUUUCCUCCUAUCCCCUCGUGGAUGCUGACUGCUUCAGCUAUUAGGAGACGCUCCCUGCGGAGAAAGAAUAGAGCCGUUGGUAUGGUGAUCUGUUCGAAAAGUGGGGGACAUCGAAAGGGAGAGUUCCAAUACUGGAAAACUGCCCAAUAUGGAUGUAAUCUGACUCUGGAGGUAACACCAAGGCAAACUCAGAGAGAUCCAGCUUGGACUUGUAAAAAUCAAAGUAGAGAGUGGAUGAGUGGAAUCACCCAGAUGUGUGAAAAUGCAACCAGGGGAGACUCAAGGUGCUAUUGGAUAGGGAAGGCCUUGUGGUUCAGUGGUUGUGGCACGGAAGGGGAAGGCACUGAGAAUCUCCACUUUCUAUGUGAUAAUACUAGGAGUCAGUAUUUACAACCAGGAAGGGGUUGUGUAAAGUAUUGUGGGAACCUGCUCGGAGUCAUCAACCAGCCUAUCCCUUAAACCCCCAUGGAAAAAGAAAGAACAGAGCAUUACUUGCCAUAACCCAGGCCUACUCACAAGGUAUAAUGUGACCCUGUGGGUUGGACUGGGAAUUAUUAGUGGACAACCUGGGGCAGCAUUACUAAAAUAUCUUAAUCAUACGGUGGUCAAGAAGAAGAAGAAAAGAAGAAAAAUGGGAGCUUUCAUUAGAUGUAUGUAGAGCAAUGGAUAUGAUAGCCUUCCGAAAAUGUGGUUCACAAACCUGGACUGGCCUGUUAGAUGAAGGAGGGUUCCUAGGGGACAUUUUCAGAAACUGGAAGCAAGCCUUAUUUAUGGUGGGUGUAAUUUUUAUUGGAUUAAUGUUGUUGCCAUGUCUAAUCCCGGUAAUAAGAAACUUAGUAAUCACAACUGUGAAAAGUAUUAUGCAGGCCCAACAAACAGAGAAAACAAUGAUGGUACUAAAGGAAAUUGGUAACCAAAUACACCUGUUGGAAAGUAUGGACACUCUACACCCUAUGAAAAAUACUGAAACUGAGAAAGAAAGAUUGAAAGAAAUAAAAGAAAAUAUUAAACAAAUCA
Long non-coding RNA from Thamnophis elegans (Western terrestrial garter snake), 2004 nucleotides. RefSeq lists it as uncharacterized. The transcript has 2 exons. Lineage: Eukaryota; Metazoa; Chordata; Lepidosauria; Squamata; Natricidae. The record is from RefSeq and is a predicted model, not a curated record.